GAUGAACGCUGGCGGCGUGCCUAAUACAUGCCAGUCGAGCGAACAGACGAGGAGCUUGCUCCUCUGACGUUAGCGGCGGACGGGUGAGUAACACGUGGAUAACCUACCUAUAAGACUGGGAUAACUUCGGGAAACCGGAGCUAAUACCGGAUAAUAUAUUGAACCGCAUGGUUCAAUAGUGAAAGACGGUUUUGCUGUCACUUAUAGAUGGAUCCGCGCCGCAUUAGCUAGUUGGUAAGGUAACGGCUUACCAAGGCAACGAUGCGUAGCCGACCUGAGAGGGUGAUCGGCCACACUGGAACUGAGACACGGUCCAGACUCCUACGGGAGGCAGCAGUAGGGAAUCUUCCGCAAUGGGCGAAAGCCUGACGGAGCAACGCCGCGUGAGUGAUGAGGGUCUUCGGAUCGUAAAACUCUGUUAUUAGGGAAGAACAAAUGUAUAAGUAACUAUGCACGUCUUGACGGUACCUAAUCAGAAAGCCACGGCUAACUACGUG
Molecule: ribosomal RNA, 497 nt
Filed under: uncultured bacterium
Lineage: Bacteria
Description: partial 16S ribosomal RNA
Rfam family: Bacterial small subunit ribosomal RNA
Source: RNAcentral